Molecule: ribosomal RNA, 325 nt
Filed under: uncultured eukaryote
Lineage: Eukaryota
Description: partial 18S ribosomal RNA
Rfam family: Eukaryotic small subunit ribosomal RNA
Source: RNAcentral
CCCUUAGAUGUUCUGGGCCGCACGCGCGCUACACUGAUACAUUCAACGAGCCUAUCCUUGACCGACAGGUCCGGGUAAUCUUUGAAUCUGCAUCGUGACGGGGAUAGAUUAUUGCAAUUAUUAAUCUUCAACGAGGAAUGCCUAGUAGGCGCAAGUCAUCAGCUUGCGUCGAUUACGUCCCUGCCCUUUGUACACACCGCCCGUCGCUCCUACCGAUUGGGUGUGCUGGUGAAAUGUUCGGAUCGGCCGUUUGUCGCGGUUUCCGCGGCUCGUGGCUGAGAAGUUCAUUAAACCCUCCCACCUAGAGGAAGGAGAAGUCGUAACA